GUGUGUGCUUAUGUUGAUG
RNAcentral lists this non-coding RNA (19 nucleotides) under Rattus norvegicus (Norway rat). The record is from RNAcentral. Lineage: Eukaryota; Metazoa; Chordata; Mammalia; Rodentia; Muridae.